GUAUGUGAGGGUGAUCUGAUUGCGACAUCUGCCACCAGGGUGGUUCUAGUUGGCAAGGCAGGUGUCCCCUGCCCCUCACUCUGCGUCACGUGUGUCUCUCUUGAAACUGUGCUCAGUUCCCGAGCGUGGCCUUCCCCAAUAAAGGAAGCCAAUCCUUCCUUCAGUCAGUGGUCUCUGAUUGGUUGAGCUCCACAGCUGGAACCUCCCAACAAGCUCUCAAGAGUUUAAUGUGUUCAUAUGCUGAUCCAAAAGUUGGAGGUUCUGACCCACCCAGAAGUGCCUCAGAAGAGACCCGAAAACCAGCCACUGACAGCCUAU
RNAcentral lists this small nuclear RNA (318 nucleotides) under Echinops telfairi (small Madagascar hedgehog). RNAcentral's name for it is "7SK RNA (ENSETEG00000026313.1)". It matches the Rfam family "7SK RNA". Rfam says of the family: 7SK was discovered as an abundant small nuclear RNA in the mid-70s but a possible function has only recently been suggested. Two independent studies have found that 7SK RNA binds the CDK9/cyclin T complex (known as elongation factor P-TEFb). P-TEFb activates transcription by phosphorylating the C-terminal domain of RNA polymerase II. Lineage: Eukaryota; Metazoa; Chordata; Mammalia; Afrosoricida; Tenrecidae. The record is from RNAcentral.